RNAcentral lists this transfer RNA (46 nucleotides) under Crocodylus mindorensis (Philippine crocodile). RNAcentral describes it as "partial tRNA-Thr". Lineage: Eukaryota; Metazoa; Chordata; Crocodylia; Crocodylidae. The record is from RNAcentral.
AUAAACCUAACACACUCUUGUAGCUCAAACCCCAAAGCGCUGGCCU